RNAcentral lists this ribosomal RNA (449 nucleotides) under uncultured bacterium. RNAcentral describes it as "bacterial SSU rRNA". It matches the Rfam family "Bacterial small subunit ribosomal RNA", at positions 331 to 793 of the family's 1533-position model. The record is from RNAcentral.
CCAGACUCCUACGGGAGGCAGCAGUGGGGAAUAUUGGACAAUGGGGGGAGCCCUGAUCCAGCGACGCCGCGUGAGUGAAGAAGUAUUUCGGUAUGUAAAGCUCUAUCAGCAGGGAAGAAAGAAAUGACGGUACCUGACUAAGAAGCCCCGGCUAACUACGUGCCAGCAGCCGCGGUAAUACGUAGGGGGCAAGCGUUAUCCGGAUUUACUGGGUGUAAAGGGAGCGUAGACGGCGAUGCAAGUCUGAAGUGAAAGGCGGGGGCCCAACCCCCGGACUGCAUUGGAAACUGUUGAACUGGAGUACAGGAGAGGUAAGCGGAAUUCCUAGUGUAGCGGUGAAAUGCGUAGAUAUUAGGAGGAACACCAGUGGCGAAGGCGGCUUACUGGACUGUAACUGACGUUGAGGCUCGAAAGCGUGGGGAGCAAACAGGAUUAGAUACCCCCGUAAG